Rana temporaria (common frog) is the source of this 1125-nucleotide long non-coding RNA. RefSeq lists it as uncharacterized. The transcript is spliced from 4 exons. The record is from RefSeq and is a predicted model, not a curated record. NCBI's taxonomy places the organism in Eukaryota, Metazoa, Chordata, Amphibia, Anura, Ranidae.
UAUAGGAGCACAGAGGACAAGUUCUGCACCCCCCCCCUCCUCUGUGUACAGGGUGAUGGAGGGUGGGGGGAAGGGGCAGCCUGAAUCCAUUACUGACACUUUCCGAUCAUUUCCAACCGAAUAGUUACCGGCUAUUUCUUCCCAGAAAUAAUGAAGAGAUUUCAAUGGGUGCACGGCCAGGCGCCCCCAUUGUACGGCCAUUGAUAGGAAGGAUGUUUUUGACUAUGCAACAGUGGGCUGCAUUGCCGGCUCCCAAUACCCCCCCUCUUCUUCUGGCCACAGAAAAGGUGAAACCAAUACGAUUAAAGCUACACAAAGAUAACUCCCUGCCCAUCACUUACAUUGUAGUCCGGGCUGUGAGGAGGCGCACUCAUAGGAGGCUCAGCAGCUUCCACCCAGGGACUGCUAUAUACAGGGACCGCACCACAGGCUGCUGGAACACGAGCCGGGACCAUCCAUCCAACCACUGCCACCAACACUGCCACCAGGGACCGCACUGCCACCGACACUGCCACCAGGGACCGCACUGCCACCAGGGACCGCACUGCCACUGACACUGCCACCAGGGACCGCACUGCCACCAGGGACCGCACUGCCACCAACAGCUGUUUCCUUCUCCCACUGCAGGACCGACCACCUACCGGGCUCUUUCUUCCGUCCAUCCUGCCUGCUGCUGCUGUCUCUCUGUCUGUGCAGGUUCACAAGUUGAUGUUAAAAGCUGACAAGCUGCCCCCAGAGCUCGGGCUACAGCCGCUAUCAGGUCUGUCCUGGAAGGCAGUAAAUUCCUUGAAGUGAAUACUUUGUUACUAAGAGAUCCGAAAAUUCUGAAUGACAUCACAGACCACUGAAAUGCUCUGAUUACACAGUCUGUACAAAGAUCUGCCAAGUCCACAGAAUUUGGGUAUAAAAGAUCAGUCCAUCCACUCUUUUCCAGUCUCUAAUAUGUCUCAGUCACUCCAGUGGUGAUAUCUCUCUUGCUAAGUCCCCAGACUUGCACAGCUACUUUGGGCAGUAAAUGAGCAUUGCUAUUCUCAUUGUUGGAGUUAUCCUUAUUUUUUUUUAUUAAAAUUACAUUACAGUAUAGUGCAACAGAAGAGACAAUGCUGAAAACUCAUGCCCUGUACA